GUUUUCAUUAAUCAAGAACGAAAGUUAGGGGAUCGAAGACGAUCAGAUACCGUCGUAGUCUUAACCAUAAACGAUGCCGACCAGCGAUUAGGAGACGUUGAAUACAAAACACCACCAUCGGCGCGGUCGUCCUUGGCGUCUGUCCCUUUCAACGGGGGCAGGCGCGAGGGCGGUUUAGCCCGGUGGCACCGGUGAAUGACUCCCCUAGCAGCUUGUGAGAA
RNAcentral lists this ribosomal RNA (221 nucleotides) under Acanthamoeba sp. RNAcentral describes it as "partial small subunit ribosomal RNA". It matches the Rfam family "Eukaryotic small subunit ribosomal RNA", at positions 966 to 1096 of the family's 1831-position model. The record is from RNAcentral. Lineage: Eukaryota; Discosea; Longamoebia; Acanthamoebidae.